Molecule: unclassified non-coding RNA, 4463 nt
Filed under: Drosophila ananassae
Lineage: Eukaryota; Metazoa; Arthropoda; Insecta; Diptera; Drosophilidae
Description: GF23902
Source: RNAcentral
CAACCCUACUGAAUACAUUUUUUUUCCGCAAAGUUUGUCAUUGUCCAGGUAGUCCAGGUAAUGCUUUGUCGAAAAAAUAACGAGCAGUAAAGAACCGCCGUGGUUCCAGUGCCUAACGCGACGCCGAAUGCUGCAGGAAUUGCUACGAAUAAAGGCGAAAGUUGCAUAACACGUCGCCUGGUCGUCGCGGUCGCAAUUUCCAGAAAACCACGCACGCACACAAACACACGCGCACGCGAGCGGAAAGUGAAGUGUGAAAAGCGUGGAAUUCUCCAACAACCAGCCGAUGUGAAGCCCCUGCAGCCCAGCAUUUAGCUACAGGACAACGAAUGUGCAUUCCGUGUGCGGCGUAGCCAAUGUGCUGUGAUCCCCCCAAAAAAUCCCGUCCGCACCCCGCAUCCAAAAUCCGCAUCCCACACACACACACACACAUACAAACACAACCACAACCACAACCGUCGCCGUCGCCGCUCACCAAUACAACCACAAUAGCAGUACGGCCCACAAAGAGCUCUCCGCUCCGUACGCUGCUUCCUCUUUGUACAGUUCCUACGACAAGCAAGCAGCAGUGAAGCAGCUGAAUCAGCAGCCUUCCGCGGAUUUUUGAGGCGCAGUAAACAAGAGGCUUGCAUGUGAACCAAAAAUCAGGAAAACCUAACCCACAACAGCCCAGCAGCCCACCCAACAGACGAGCCUCAUGGCCACGCCAAUGUCCGUUGCCUCGGCUCCCGGGUUGGGGGCGGGCGGCAACAGUGGCAGCAGCAGCAGUACUGGCAGCGGCAGCUCCUCAGGUGCUAGCACAUCAUCCGGUGCCUCCACCGCCGUCACCGCCUCGUCCGGUAGCAACAACAACAACAACAACCUGCCGUUCGAAAAGGAUAAAAUCUGGUACUUCAGUAACGAGCAGUUGGUGAACUCUCCAAGCAGAAGAUGCGGAAUUAAGAGCGACGAUGAACUGCAAUACCGCCAGAUGACCGCCUAUCUGAUCCAGGAGAUGGGACAACGACUGCAAGUGUCACAGCUGUGCAUCAAUACGGCGAUCGUGUAUAUGCAUCGGUUCUAUGCAUUUCACUCAUUCACCCAAUUCCAUCGGAACUCAAUGGCAUCCGCCAGCCUGUUUCUAGCUGCGAAGGUGGAGGAGCAACCCAGGAAGCUGGAGCAUGUGAUUCGGGCAGCCAACAAGUGCCUGCCGCCAUCAACCGAACAGAACUAUGCUGAUCUCGCCCAGGAGCUGGUAUUCAAUGAGAAUGUAUUGCUGCAGACGCUCGGAUUUGAUGUGGCCAUCGACCAUCCGCACACGCACGUGGUGCGCACCUGCCAGCUGGUCAAAGCAUGCAAGGAUCUGGCGCAGACCUCGUACUUCUUGGCCUCGAACAGCCUGCAUCUGACCUCGAUGUGCCUCCAGUACCGACCCACUGUGGUGGCCUGCUUUUGCAUUUAUUUGGCCUGCAAGUGGUCCCGCUGGGAGAUCCCCCAAUCGACCGAGGGCAAGCACUGGUUCUACUAUGUCGAUAAGAGCGUCUCCCUGGACCUCCUGAAGCAGCUAACGGACGAGUUCAUUGCCAUCUACGAGAAGAGUCCCGCCCGCCUCAAGUCCAAGCUAAACUCCAUUAAGGCCAUCGCCCAGGGUGCCAGCAAUCGUACUGCCGCCAACAAGGACAACAAGCCCAAGGAGGACUGGAAGAUGAGCGAGAUGAUCAAGGGAUACCAUUCGAACAUCACCCCACCGCCAGAGCUACUAAAUGGCAACGAUAACCGGGAACGGGAACGAGACCGGGAUCGGGACAGGGAGCGGGAGCGAGAGCGUGAGAGGGCGGAUCCGUCGCUGUUGCCGCCGCCGUCGAUGGUGCCGCAGCAACGGCGUCCGGAUGGCAGCCACCAGCGGUCGUCCGGUGUGAGCGGAGUGCCGGGUAGCGGCUCCUCCUCGUCAUCCUCCUCGUCGUCCUCCAAUCACAAGUUGCCAAACUAUCCGGGCGGCAUGCCGUCCGAGGCGCAUCCAGAUUACAAGUCCAAGCAGCCGGGCUACAGCAAUCGCAUGCCCUCCAGUCACCAGCGCAGCAGUAGCAGUAGUAUGGGCUCGUCGGGCAGUAGCGGCAGUGGCCAGCGAAGCAGUUCAUCCUCGUCGUCGGGCAGUCAGCCAGGACGUCCGUCGAUGCCAGUUGACUAUCACAAAUCGUCACGCGGCAUGCCGCCGGUGGGCGUGGGUAUUCCUCCACCCCAUGGCAGUCAUAAAAUGCCGCCAGGCUCCAAGCCACCAUUGCCGUCGCACCAACAACAGCCACCGCCAACACAUCCUUCCGCCUCGAGCUCGUCAGUGUCCUCCAAGGAUAAGUCGCAGAGCAGUAAGAUGUACCCAAAUGCUCCGCCCCCGUACAGUAGUAGUGCUCCCCCGAAUCCGUCAAUGUCGCGCGGUGGCUAUCCGGGUUCUAGUAACGGAUCCCAGCCAGCACCAUCGGCCGGCUAUGGCGGCCAUCGCAGCAAAUCCGGCUCCACCGUCCACGGCAUGCCGCCCUUUGAGCAGCAGAUGCCCUAUUCCCAGAGCCAAAGCUACGGCCACAUGCAGCAGCAGCAGCAGGCGCAGCAGUCACAGCUUCCGGCGCUUGAUGCGCCUGCCCCGCAGUCGGCACAAUCGCAGUCUAAGAUGUCGCUGUUUAGUCCCGAGUGGUCCGACAUGAAGAAGGAGCCGCUGGCCCAGCCGCCGCCCUUCAACGGACUGCUGCCGCCGCCGGUGCCGCAGGGCCAUGACUACAAGCUGAACAAUCAUCCCCGCGACAAGGAGAGCCCCAAGAAGGAGCGUCUCACGCCCACCAAGAAGGAUAAGCACCGUCCGACUGGCAUGCCCCUGGGAAGCAGCAGCAGCAGCAGCUCCAGCAGUAGUGGCAUCGGUAGCAGUAGUUCCUCCGCUUCUGGAUCGGCCAAGCCAAUGAUGCCGCCUCACAAGAAGCCCCUGCCACAUGGCAGCGACCUGCUGGGUAAUGCCGGUGGCGACGGUGGCAGCUUGAAGCGAGCCAACGACAUCUCCGGCAGCCAGUAUGGUCUGAACAAGCUGGACGACAUGGAUGGCAGUUUGCCGCGCGAGAAGCUGCGCAAGCUGGACAACAGCACUGGCCUGCCCACAUACCCGAGCUACGAGGAGAAACACCCGCCUUUGAACAUGUCCAAUGGGAUCGAGACCACACCGGAUCUGGUGCGCAGCCUGCUGAAGGAGAGCCUCUGUCCGUCGAAUGCCUCGCUCCUGAAACCAGACCCCCUGACCAUGCCGGGUCUGAAGCCACCGGCAGAGCUUCUAGAGCCCAUGCCAACGCUGAAAAAGGAACCGGGCAUUAUUACUCCGCUGAGCAGUGCCGUGCCAAUGGAACUGGAGCUGGGCACGACGAAACUGGCCGGUGACAUGAAGGACGAAACCGGCAGCACCAAGUCCGAGAAGAAGAAAAAGAAGGACAAGCACAAGCACAAGGAGAAGGAUAAGUCGAAGGACAAGUCUGAGAAGGAGGAGCGCAAGAAGCACAAGAAGGAUAAGCAGAAGGAGCGGAGCAGCAGUGCUGGCGGCAGUGGUGGCAGCAAGGAAGGUUCUCUGGCCAACGAACCCCUGAAGCUCACCAUCAAGAAUCCUAAUCCCAAUCCCAACGGAGGUCUGAAGCUGAAGAUCAAGGUGGAGUCCAGUAACUACUCGACGGCUACAGGUAUGCCUGGUGCCGCAGGCUUCGGAGCGCCAUCGGCUACGGCUACUACAUCGUCGUCUGCAGCCGGGGGAGUGGCUCCUCCCCAGGCUAUGGUUCCAGCCUACAAUGCCGCUGGUGGUGGCUAUAGCUCAUCCGGUGGCAGUAGCUCCGGCGGUAGCAGCAAGAAGAAGCACAGCGAUCGAGACCGCAGCGAAAAGGAGAGCAAGAAGAGCAAGUCGCAGAGUCAGGGACAGGAUUAUGCGAAAUACAAUGGAGUUGGCGGCGGAGGAGGUGGAGGAGGAUUCGCUCCCCUCGGUGGUGCUGGCGCCGCAGUGAGCAUGGGUGCUCCACUGGUCACCGCAGCCCCACCAGCUCUACUGAUGGCGCCGGCCAGCACUGCUGCUCCACCGGGCGGACUGGCCCCGCCCCCGUUGCCCGUUUACAGCAAGAAGUAACACGGUGGAGUGGAGUAGGACGGUUGGACCUUUUGAUAUGUGUAUAGAAUAUAGAUACCUAGAAGCUCUGUAAGUCGAUGUUAAGCGCAAAGCUACAGAUAUAAGAUACAGAUACAGAGAGAGACAGACCGGAAGGUGGCAGAGAAUGUGAAUGAUAAUCGCAAAUCGCAAAUGCAAAUGCGCAAAGCAAAAUGGCAACCGGAAACGGAAAUGCAAAACUCAAAAAGCGAAACAAUUUGUACAGCAUUAAUUAAUUUAUAAUUAUAAAACAUAAAACAUAAACUAUAAACAUUUAACAUGCAUACAAACAUACGUACAUAACAAGAAUACAUACAUCAAUACGAAA